Molecule: ribosomal RNA, 249 nt
Filed under: uncultured bacterium
Lineage: Bacteria
Description: partial 16S ribosomal RNA
Rfam family: Bacterial small subunit ribosomal RNA
Source: RNAcentral
UGGGGAAUAUUGGACAAUGGGGGCAACCCUGAUCCAGCAAUGCCGCGUGUGUGAAGAAGGUCUUCGGAUUGUAAAGCACUUUCGACGGGGACGAUGAUGACGGUACCCGUAGAAGAAGCCCCGGCUAACUUCGUGCCAGCAGCCGCGGUAAUACGAAGGGGGCUAGCGUUGCUCGGAAUGACUGGGCGUAAAGGGCGUGUAGGCGGUUUACACAGUCAGAUGUGAAAUCCCCGGGCUUAACCCGGACUG